Molecule: long non-coding RNA, 430 nt
Filed under: Prunus persica (peach)
Lineage: Eukaryota; Viridiplantae; Streptophyta; Magnoliopsida; Rosales; Rosaceae
Description: long non-coding RNA (PPER_LNC006200)
Source: RNAcentral
GAGGCUGAGGCCCUUGGUGAAAUGGGUUGGUGAGAGACCUGUAGAAGGUAAAAAGAGGAGAAGCAAUCGUUAAGCUUCGGACACCGGUGUGGUGCCGGCCGAAGGCUCUCCGAUGCCUAAGUCAGUUACAAGUAGUAAUUCUGGCAGAGUAACAGUAAAAGUGGGAGAAUAGUUCUCCGUUUUACCUGGGUACUGUUCCCUAUUUAUAGGGAAGUGAAAGUGGGAGCUUUGCACAAAGUUCCAAUGUGGGACUUUGUGCAAGCCGUUGUGGUGACGACACGUGUCCUGGAGAUUAGGUUUGGUAGCUGAGAGCUUCGGCAGGUGUCUGGCACCUCGGAAGUGUGUCUUCCUUCGGCAUGGGAGAAGGCGUGGCUGCCUUGGUGCUAGUCGCUUUGAUGCUGGGUCUGCUCGGUUCAUUAUGGUGUAAACA